GCAUGAUUCACGGUUAAAAUCCUGUAAUUCUGACUGGACAAGACCCUUGCCUUUCUGUGUGUGACACCAUGGGAUUUCAGGUUUGUGCUUCCAUAAUUCUGCUGGUGUAAGGAUUUCUUUUUGGUUUUCCACUUUUAUCCACUGGAGCUGGAUUGGCAAUUGCAUUUGCUCGGGAAGCUAAGCUCACGAGCCUGCCGUUCCUGUGCCCCUGCCUGGGACCCGAGCGCUUUGUGGAUGUUUUGCUGUCACGAGUAUGCUUGUCCUUUGCGCACAGUGGCAGUAUCCAUUUGGGUAGCUUGUACACCUGGGAUGAGAUGUAGAAUUACAUGUCAGGCAGCAUGGGAGCUCCGAAUCCUGAGCAUUCAUCAUCUCAGCUAACGCAGUGUGACCGAGGGAGGAAUUUGAUCCAUGAUUUCUGUGUCUAUGCCAGAUCCAUUUCUGACCAUUACAUUGGUAUUGGUAUUGACCCAAAAUGACAUCCUUUUUAAAUGUCUACUAUAGGAAUUUUUCCAAAAUCACUUUCUUAGAGGUGUAUAUCCAUUAUUAUUUUAGAGGAGGUCUCUCGCUUACUCAGGUCCACGCAUGCUGUAAACCAGUUUCCUUUCCUGGAACCUGAUGUUCCUUCGUUGGUUUACGUGGACUGAGCAUCUACCCUGUGUUCCAUCUGUGUGCUUGUGAGGAGUUUCCUUCACUUCCUUUUAAUUUAAUUCAAUUAUUUUGUAUAGGGUUGAAUUCUGUAAACUGUAUGUCACCUUUGAGGAAAGAAAAAUGAAAACAUCAGGUAAUGUUUUUGUGAUUCACUCUUAUUUUCGCCAAAUUUCUUGCAAAAGCAAAUGUGAUCCUUUAUUCUUGUAUCCGAAUCAUUUUCUGCCGUUGCUAGAAGGUAAUUGUUGCUGGUUUUUAUUUAAUAAAAAAAAAAAAAAGACACCCGCCCCUUCCUCCCCCUCACCAUCCCUUUUCAUUUUUUAACAUAAAUCUGAAAAUCCUUUUUGAGUCAGUAAACAGGACACCUGUCAGCCAACUGUGUGCUGAAUUUCUAUAACUUACAGAAAGACUGGUCAUAAAGUGCUUAAAGCUCUGGGGACUUGGGUACCACCCAGUGCAGAACGGAUUAAUUUCACGGUGUUUUUCUGCAUUUGCACAAAUUAAAAAUAUGAGAGUCUGUGCUUUGUUUGUUUGAACUUCUUGAAUUAGAUUUCUUCAAUUAGUUUUGUGCUCAGGUUUGGUAACUCAGCAUUUUCCAGAAGUCUCCAAAUUCCUACAAGUUUAAUGCCAGUCAGAUCUGCAGACCUGCUUUUGUCCCAUUAGUACCCGAUGCAAAAGGAUUUGUUUCUGUAGUCUCUGUUCAUCACUAGUUUUCUCCACUUGGAUGUCACCCUUGCUCAUACGUCUCAGACCUAAUGUUCCUACGUUAUCAUGUCACCUACAAUAUGUAAUCUCGGGCCUUAAUUUCACCACAUCCUCAAACAGUUUUGAUGCUUCACGUUGGAAUCGGUGUUUAUAGAGAUUGAACAAUGGCUCCAGCAAUCUCUUAUGGUUGUUUUGUGGCAAUCGUGCUUUGAUUAACAAUGGGAGAUUCUUGGUGAUUCCAUGUAAUAUAAUUAAACUCGGUUUAACUUUAGCCAAGAUUGUCCAGAUCUUUUGGAAAUUUGCUUUUCUUCUUUCUAAUGAGAUCUGGUAAGUCUUUUCUUUCCCUCCUUUUUGUUCUUGCAGAAAGUUGCUAUGAAAACAAUACCUUUUAAACCUGUUGAAA
Molecule: long non-coding RNA, 1753 nt
Organism: Cygnus olor (mute swan)
Lineage: Eukaryota; Metazoa; Chordata; Aves; Anseriformes; Anatidae
Exons: 3
Source: RefSeq, a predicted model, not a curated record